GAUGAACGCUGGCGGCGUGCCUAAUACAUGCAGGUCGAGCGAACGGACGAGAAGCUUGCUUCUCUGAUGUUAGCGGCGGACGGGUGAGUAACACGUGGAUAACCUACCUAUAAGACUGGGAUAACUUCGGGAAACCGUAGCUAAUACCGGAUAAUAUUUUGAACCGCAUGGUUCAAAAGUGAAAGACGGUCUUGCUGUCACUUAUAGAUGGAUCCGCGCUGCAUUAGUUAGUUGGUAAGGUAACGGCUUACCAAGGCAACGAUGCAUAGCCGACCUGAGAGGGUGAUCGGCCACACGGGAACUUAGACACGGUCCAUACUCCUACGGGAGGCAGCAGUAGGGAAUCUUCCGCAAUGGGCGAAAGCCUGACGGAGCAACGCCGCGUGAGUGAUGAAGGUCUUCGGAUCGUAAAACUCUGUUAUUAGGGAAGAACAUAUGUGUAAGUAACUGUGCACAUCUUGACGGUACCUAAUCAGAAAGCCACGGCUAACUACGUG
This 497-nucleotide ribosomal RNA is filed under the name uncultured bacterium. Its description in RNAcentral is "partial 16S ribosomal RNA". It matches the Rfam family "Bacterial small subunit ribosomal RNA", at positions 28 to 507 of the family's 1533-position model. The record is from RNAcentral.